RNAcentral lists this ribosomal RNA (561 nucleotides) under uncultured bacterium. RNAcentral describes it as "partial 16S ribosomal RNA". It matches the Rfam family "Bacterial small subunit ribosomal RNA", at positions 355 to 933 of the family's 1533-position model. The record is from RNAcentral.
UGGGGAAUAUUGCACAAUGGGCGAAAGCCUGAUGCAGCAACGCCGCGUGAGUGAUGAAGGCCUUCGGGUUGUAAAGCUCUGUCUUUUGGGACGAUAAUGACGGUACCAAAGGAGGAAGCCACGGCUAACUACGUGCCAGCAGCCGCGGUAAUACGUAGGUGGCAAGCGUUGUCCGGAUUUACGGGCGUAAAGGAUGCGUAGGCGGAUUUUUAAGUGAGAUGUGAAAACCCUAAGCUUAACUUGGGGACUGCAUUUCAUACUGGAAAUCUAGAGUGCGGGAGAGGAGAAUGGAGUUCCUAGUGUAGCGGUGAAAUGCGUAGAGAUUAGGAAGAACACCAGUGGCGAAGGCGAUUCUCUGGACCGUAACUGACGCUGAGGCAUGAAAGCGUGGGUAGCAAACAGGAUUAGAUACCCUGGUAGUCCACGCCGUAAACGAUGAGUACUAGGUGUAGGAGGUAUCGACCCCUUCUGUGCCGCAGUUAACACAAUAAGUACUCCGCCUGGGAAGUACGAUCGCAAGAUUAAAACUCAAAGGAAUUGACGGGGGUCAUAGCUGUUUUU